AGCGAACGCUGGCGGCAGGCUUAACACAUGCAAGUCGAGCGGGCACUUUCGGGUGUCCGCGGCGGACGGGUGAGUAACGCGUGGGAACGUGCCCUCUGGUUCGGAAUAACUCAGGGAAACUUGAGCUAAUACCGGAUACGCCCUUUUGGGGAAAGGCUUGCUGCCGGAGGAUCGGCCCGCGUCUGAUUAGCUAGUUGGUGAGGUAACGGCUCACCAAGGCGACGAUCAGUAGCUGGUCUGAGAGGAUGAUCAGCCACACUGGGACUGAGACACGGCCCAGACUCCUACGGGAGGCUGCAGUGGGGAAUAUUGGACAAUGGGCGCAAGCCUGAUCCAGCCAUGCCGCGUGAGUGAUGAAGGCCUUAGGGUUGUAAAGCUCUUUUAUCCGGGACGAUAAUGACGGUACCGGAGGAAUAAGCCCCGGCUAACUUCGUG
Molecule: ribosomal RNA, 435 nt
Filed under: uncultured bacterium
Lineage: Bacteria
Description: partial 16S ribosomal RNA
Rfam family: Bacterial small subunit ribosomal RNA
Source: RNAcentral